RNAcentral lists this RNase P RNA (354 nucleotides) under Polaromonas sp. OV174. RNAcentral's name for it is "Bacterial RNase P class A". It matches the Rfam family "Bacterial RNase P class A". Rfam says of the family: Ribonuclease P (RNase P) is a ubiquitous endoribonuclease, found in archaea, bacteria and eukarya as well as chloroplasts and mitochondria. Its best characterised activity is the generation of mature 5'-ends of tRNAs by cleaving the 5'-leader elements of precursor-tRNAs. The record is from Rfam by way of RNAcentral. Lineage: Bacteria; Pseudomonadati; Pseudomonadota; Betaproteobacteria; Burkholderiales; Comamonadaceae.
GAAGCCUGCCAGACCGCCGCUGGUGCAAUCUUGGAAACAAGGCACUGGAGGAACGUCCGGACUGCACAGGACAGCGUAGGAGGUAACACCUCUCCACUGAAAGCCGCAAGGUAUAAGGUGAGGAUUAGAGCAACAGAGACGAGCCGAUUCAGUUCGGGUGAAACGGGCAAUCUCUACGCGCAGCAAUACCAAAUAGGCCAGCGUUGAUGUGGUUCCGCGGAGCUGGCGGGUAGGUAGCACCGAGCCGGGUGGGCGACCCCCGGCCCAGAUUAAUGGCGGUCACACCGGGCCAGCCUUGCUUUCGGGCAAGGCUGGCCCGGCGCACAGAAUCCGGCUUAUCGGCGGGCUUCACAC